Molecule: ribosomal RNA, 1007 nt
Filed under: Crambione mastigophora
Lineage: Eukaryota; Metazoa; Cnidaria; Scyphozoa; Rhizostomeae; Catostylidae
Description: eukaryotic LSU rRNA
Rfam family: Eukaryotic large subunit ribosomal RNA
Source: RNAcentral
CCGUCGCUUGCGACGGCGAAUUGUAGUCUCGAGAAGCGUCUUCCAGGCGAAUCUUCCCUGCCUAAGUUGCUUGGAACAGCACAUCGGAGAGGGUGACAAUCCCGUAUGUGGCAGGGCGGAUCGCUCACGAUACGCUUUCCAUGAGUCGGGUUGCUUGGGAAUGCAGCCCAAAAUUGGUGGUAAACUCCAUCUAAAGCUAAAUAUUGGCACGAGACCGAUAGCGAACAAGUACCGUGAGGGAAAGAUGAAAAGAACUUUGAAAAGAGAGUUAAAAAGUGCGUGAAACCGUUAGAGGGGAAACGGAUGCAGUUAGCAAUGCUUCUGCGAGAUUCAGGUGAUCGCUUUGUGCGACUUGCAGUCGGUGGAUCUGAAUGGACCGUCACUGCUUGGCCGCACUGWGUGUCCGCCGCACUUCUCGUGGGAGUGCGUCAACAUCUGCUAGAUUUCGUCGAGCUACACGGCCCCGUUGGAAGGUAGAUGGCCGAUUUUUCGGGCAUUGUUAUAGACGUCGGUGGCCCAGCUCGAUUCUGGCAGAGGCGAGCGGUGCAUGCUCUCUUUCGUGGAGGGCUGGCGUCCUGUUGCGUUCUCGUAGCCCGCUGUGAUGCACUGCGUGCAGUUCGUCUCGGCGGGUGAAAAGGCGUGCAGCAAACGCACACUAUGCACCAUGGUUGUUGGCGGCAAUAUGGCUUUAUCCGACCCGUCUUGAAACACGGACCAAGGAGUCUAACAUGUGCGCAAGUCUUGGGGUGACCGAAACCCACGGGCGCAAUGAGAGUGAAGGCUGCCUAGCAGCUGAGGUGAGAUCCUUUCACCACGUCGUGAGAGGCGCAUCAUCGACCGACCUAUUCUACUCUUAGAAAGGUUUGAGUAAGAGCGUACAUGCUGGGACCCGAAAGAUGGUGAACUAUGCCUGAGUAGGGUGAAGCCAGAGGAAACUCUGGUGGAAGCUCGUAGCGAUUCUGACGUGCAAAUCGAUCGUCGAACUUGGGUAUAGGGGCGAAAGACUA